This 23-nucleotide ribosomal RNA is filed under the name Piper tardans. Its description in RNAcentral is "partial 18S ribosomal RNA". Lineage: Eukaryota; Viridiplantae; Streptophyta; Magnoliopsida; Piperales; Piperaceae. The record is from RNAcentral.
CCUGCGAAAGGAUCAUUGUUGAU